UCGGGGAAUUGAGGAUUCUCCUUCUUCGUAUUCCAUAUCACCACAGAAUCGACGGCUCAAUUCCAUCGAGGGAUCCGUCGCGUUGACGUCGCCGCGUGAGUCGCUGGUCGCUGCUGGAGCCACCGGACAGCACAGCUGCUGUCGCCAGCUCCCUCCCUUCCGCCAGCCGCCGUUCGCGUUAGCAACGGGGUCCAGCCCCCGGGUAGUCAGCCCCUGCUGUCGCCACCGCCCCGAACCACUCCGAUUUGACCCGAAACAACUCUGAUCAGCCCCGCACUCCACCCAAACAGCCCCGAAACAACCCGCAAGAGUUAAGUGAGGAAGAUGGAAGGUGAAGAGAGUUGGAGGUGGAGAGUCUCCAUGGAAGCAUUCGGCCGAGAGGGGGAAAGAAAGAAGGAAGAAGAAAAGAAUUCUUGGGCUUGCUCCCAUUUGUUUGGAAAAGAAUUGGGCUCCCACACUUUAUUUAUUUGUUGAAAUUUAUAUGCCCAAAAUGAUUUAUUUUGUUGUAAAUAAAUCAAGCCCAAACUUUACUUAUUU
Long non-coding RNA from Salvia splendens (bonfire salvia), 537 nucleotides. RefSeq lists it as uncharacterized. The record is from RefSeq and is a predicted model, not a curated record. The transcript has 2 exons. NCBI's taxonomy places the organism in Eukaryota, Viridiplantae, Streptophyta, Magnoliopsida, Lamiales, Lamiaceae.